UACGUAGGGUGCAAGCGUUGUCCGGAAUUAUUGGGCGUAAAGAGCUCGUAGGCGGUUUGUUGCGUCGGCUGUGAAAUCCCGAGGCUCAACCUCGGGUCUGCAGUCGAUACGAGCAAAACUAGAGUGUUGCAGGGGAGACUGGAAUUCCUGGUGUAGCGGUGAAAUGCGCAGAUAUCAGGAGGAACACCGGUGGCGAAGGCGGGGUCUCUGGGCAACAACUGAC
RNAcentral lists this ribosomal RNA (223 nucleotides) under uncultured bacterium. RNAcentral describes it as "partial 16S ribosomal RNA". It matches the Rfam family "Bacterial small subunit ribosomal RNA", at positions 524 to 744 of the family's 1533-position model. The record is from RNAcentral.